AGGCAGAGGCAGCCUGUGACUGAUUGACUGACUGAGUGAGUACAGGCAAUUGCUGCUCAGAGACCAACAUACAACACCAAACUGACUGGCAUGUCCGGCAAUGAAAAAGACCAGAAGAAGGACAUCUCUGAAAAGGCAGAGAGAGAGAGGGAGGGGAGGGGGGCUGGUGGUUGGGGUAGUGGGAGAAGAGAGAAAGGGAUGACUUAAAUUUGUGCAAGCAGGUUGACAGGAGCCAAGCUGUCAUUUGAAGGGAACUGGCCUCUUCAGAAAACAUGCAGGAAAAAGUUCCUGCCAUGGAUGAACAGUGAGCUGCACAGUUCUUAAGGUGCAGAAUCCACCCACAACUUGAAAAUGUGCCGAUAAAUAUUACUGCUCAAGUCCUGAUACUCAUCGUUCCUGAUUACCGCAAGUAGCCAUCCAGUCUGUCACCUGGAUGAUGCUCUGUUGAUAGAAGUGAACCAGGUCCUUCUCUACACCAUCAUUCUCAUCCCAAAGAAGAAGUAUAAAGAUGGAAGUGGCUUGAAGCUAACAGAUCUGCUAAAGAGGAAGGAUACUGGAGAACGAACAACUAUACUGCCUCAAUGCUCAACUGCAUAAUGUAUCAGCUCCUGUAGUUAAGAAAAAUCAUUAUUAGCUGCACUCUGAAGAUAACUUGAAUUACUGAAAGCUGAAACAGGAAGCAGAGUCGUACUGUUUACCGAACAUGAUGUACUGUACUUCUGUACAGUGGUGAACUGUUAAUCCAGAAACCUUGGUAGUCCAGCAACAAGUCUGCACUGUGAAUGAUGCUGGCAUGAUCCUGUGAAUGUCUGAGUCGAGGUGCAGCAGAUCAAAGAUGUAGUGAGACUGGCUCUCCCCCCCCUCACCCAACCCCCCAUCACCAAUGAAGCAAGUCCUGAGCGCUAUGAUAAAAGACGAUCCUAAGAUGUACAUUGAACUUUAGGUUGAUGAAAUAUCACCUACACGUUUGAGUUCCAGCUUUCCUGGAAUACUACCACGGAUACCUACGAUUAUAGUGAGAUUUUCCAAGGAUGAAUCAAGAGGGUUUGAAUGAAAGACAUGAGAUUGGUUGAUGCUCACAGGAAUGAAAAUGACGACAAGGUGACAGAUUGCAAAUGAAAUGUACACAGAAGUGUGAUAAGGCCAGAUAUAAAUGUAAAUCUAAGCCAUCAAAAUUACAAAGCUACCGAAUUCACUCCUGUCACGACUAGAACAGUUUACAUAAUGUUCCAACAGAAGUCUGGAACCAGGCAACAAGCUCCGAGGAGGAUGUUAUAACAUGACUGAAAAAUUAAAGGAAACUUUACACUCCACUGGCAUCUAUGGUUAUGGGAGGAACUAUCAUGGAAAGUGACCUAAGUGAAGUAUGCUGCUGACUUUCCCCAAAGAACAAGCAAAUACAGAGCCUCUCAACCCCACCCCACCCAUUGUCUGAAGCUCAAAGGACAAGUGCUACUGGGAAAGGAGGGGCAAAGUGGACGUGCUUCUCGCAACUAAUCACUAACCAGCGAUUUCUGGUGAAAGUGGAUUUUUGAGGAAUGUCAGAUUAAAGGAAGGGGAUACAGAUAAGCUUUCAAGAGUAAAGAGGGAAUCAAUGGAAAUAUCAACGUCAAGUCCUCACAUGUGCAGUUAAACGUGGAAAUCAUGAGGUUGCUGUCCAAGAUCUCCGACUAGUCCAGAUGCUGCACAAUAUGGGCUGGAUGAAAUUGAGCAACGGGCUGGAUCCAGACCACGGGGACCCCACCCCUGGGCUAAGGAGUACAGUCAAGAGGGUUGAAGGAGAAGUCGCUGCAGCUGCUGGCCCUCUCCUGUUUGGACAAGGGCGAGGAGCUGCCACUACAGCAGGGACCCUCGUUGGUUGCCAGGUCCAAGCAAGAAUCGAGGGCAACCAAAGAGACAGACUGCAACAACUGGGAGAAAGAUAUACGCUGUUUAACUAACCUUUCCUCACCUAUAAAAACAUCUCUCCAUAAAUGUGUGCACAAAUACAGCUAACCUGCAUCUCUUUUCUCCCCCCCGUCGGUCUCUCUCUCUCUCUCUCACACACACACACAGACACAGACACACACACACACAGAAAGAACUGGCUUGUUACAAGGACUUGUUUUUAGUUCACUUAAAUCGCGGAUAGGCAAACAUUUGGGGCAACAAUAGGCAAUCGUGUGUCUAAGGACUUUCGCAUGGGUAAACAAAAUUGCUAAAGAACAAAUCGCGAACUGCGGGACUUUACUGUAACUUUGUUGCUUGUGGAAACUAAACACAGGAACAUCUGAACAAGUCUGGUCAUACUGACCUCUGCACACAGAAAAUGCUUUAAGCUAAUGUAUCAGAACAUAAGAUGCUAAGGCAGCCAAGGACUCAAGUUAGAGAUUAAUUCAUCAGCACAAAAACAGAUGCAUUACCAACAGCAAUGUGGCCAUGGUGAAAUCUUUUUCCUCAGGCUUUUAUCCCCCCUUGGCUUUUCAUUUUUGAAGAUUGUAACAUUUUUUUGAGAUAUAGUUCCUCGCGUGCUGGUUUGCCCUCAAGUACCUUAUCGAGGUGGCCAUUAUUCGUGGGUCAGCCGAGAUGGUGAAUGUUGGCAGGACUAUUUUAUGAUAUUGUAGCUGAGGCGAAUCUCACACUCACAUGCAGUUUCAUCAGGGGGCUCCUAGAUACUGGGAACCCUGACAGAUUUUUCCUUCCUUAACCUACAGUGCUGAGAGAACAGUGCCUAUACAACCACCCUGGCUGAGCUUUGCUAAUUUAGCACAAGUCAGGAAUCAAACCUACACCUCCCUUCCUUGAAUGGCUUUCAGGUCAUUCAGAGAGAGCCUUUUUUUAAACCACACAAUAUAACACCAGGAGAAACAGAUAGAGUUUGAUGAAAUUUUUGCAGUAAUUCUAUCAUUAGACACGUAGGAAAAUUACAGAGGGAAAUGCUCAGGCCAAAAUACCUUCAUUCAUGCUUAGGGCUUGAAAUUACUCUGUGAUAAAAGCGUAGAAACAAUUAACACAUUCAUGUGAAAUUCCUUUCUCUGUCAUGUUAAUGAAGGCAUUCACCCACUGUUAAAAUCAGAAAGUAAUUUCAAGAAAAUGUCUUGUUUAUGGGCUAAGGUGCACAUUCAAGGCUUAGAAUUUAAACAAAGAUCUUUGCAUUGUGACUGAAGAGAGGCUAAAUGCACCAGAAUUACUUUUACCUAUGCAGUUUAGGAAAUGAAUGAAUGAAUGAAGCAGAUAAACUGACCAGUGAUAAAUGAAGUGACCAUAUCUAGUCCAGAUCCAAGAGUAAAUAGUCUUGACUCUCUCUCCCACUCAAGUUGGGGCUGCAGAUACCUGAUAUGCGAACAUGUUAGAGCAUGGAUGGGCCAUUCAUAUGUAGAGGGAAUCACAGCAGAUCCUAGUCAGAUAUAAGGAUCCUGGAUAAUAUUUGUUAAGAUAAGAUAUUGGUAAGAUUUUUUUUAAAUUUCAGACACCACAAAGUAGCAUUCAACUGUAUAAUGGAGGCUGAUGCCAUUGUCUGCUGCUUUUUGUAGUCAAUAGUUCCUGUUUGCUUGGGCAGAACAGGAGGCUUUUGGAUCUAUGGUUCCCAAAGCUUUCUACCAUUGGGGAUUUCCUCACCUCAGGUCUGGAUCUGAUUGCAGGCUGAUAGAGAUUGAUUACCAUGAUCAGCCAACAACUCGAGUGCUGUUGUAGCAUGCGAUGACCAGGAUGGUGAAAGUCAAUCUAGAUGGACCAUAGUCUUUCCUUGUCUAGCGAUUCCUAUGAUAAGCCAUCCAACACGUCAGCAUUACAAAGCAUUAUGUGAAUUUGAAUUGUACCACUGCAUCCCAUCCUACCCUUCUACAUAAACCAGUCAAAGGAAAGCAGACACAGUCGCUUUUUUUGAUUUUGAUUUUAUCUGUGUGACCAGAUGCCGGAAACCUCAAAGAAAAGUGCCUCAUGGACGUAUAAAGGUAUACAAAAUACAUGACUGGACAGAGAUACUCUCUUUUCCCAUGCAAGUCGAUGAAAAGAUGGAAAGAAAUAUGCAGGCCACAAAACACCAAGUUUAUGAACAGAAGUAGUGAAUUUUCAAACUGUUAAAUGUUGAUAAAUUACCAAACAGGUUGAGUCUCUUUGAUUACAGAUUUUCUGGCGUAUUCUAUACUUUACAUGUACCUUUUCAGGCAUUACAAGUGCAAAUGUGGUCAUUAGUGAACAGUAAAUUCAAAAAUAUUUCUUUCACUUAAAGGAAAAUCCAAACUGUCCAAUUCUCUUUGCCCUUCCCCUCCUCUCCUGAAGUCAUGCCUCCAUCGCCUUCUGGGACAGGAUUUUCAGCUCGGCAUGCGGAUGCACGCCCAACAAACACAAGCGUGAAACAGCGCGCGAUAUCUCGGUCGGCGGGC
Molecule: long non-coding RNA, 4364 nt
Organism: Carcharodon carcharias (great white shark)
Lineage: Eukaryota; Metazoa; Chordata; Chondrichthyes; Lamniformes; Lamnidae
Exons: 13
Source: RefSeq, a predicted model, not a curated record